This 470-nucleotide ribosomal RNA is filed under the name uncultured Planctomycetaceae bacterium. RNAcentral's name for it is "bacterial SSU rRNA". It matches the Rfam family "Bacterial small subunit ribosomal RNA", at positions 29 to 505 of the family's 1533-position model. Lineage: Bacteria; Pseudomonadati; Planctomycetota; Planctomycetia; Planctomycetales; Planctomycetaceae. The record is from RNAcentral.
AAUGAACGUUGGCGGCGUGGAUUAGGCAUGCAAGUCGUGCGAGAAGUUCUCUUAGCUUGCUUUGAGAACGGACAGCGGCGAAAGGGAGAGUAACGCGUGGUUACGUGCCCCGAGGUCCAGGAUAGCGUUGGGAAACUGGCGGUAAUACUGGAUGAUAUCUUCGGAUCAAAGGUGUGAUUCCGCCUUGGGAUCGGACCGCGUACUAUUAGCUUGUUGGUGGGGUAAUGGCCUACCAAGGCUGCGAUGGUUACCGGGUGUGAGAGCAUGGCCCGGCUCACUGGGACUGAGACACUGCCCAGACAUCUACGGAUGGCUGCAGUCGAGAAUCUUCGGCAAUGGACGAAAGUCUGACCGAGCGACGCCGCGUGCGGGAUGAAGGCCCUCGGGUUGUAAACCGCUGUCAGUUUGGAGGAAGGGAGUAUGCAGAAUGCUCCUUGACCGAUAUUCAGAGGAAGGACGGGCUAAGUUCG